UGACCUCGGAUCAGGUAGGGAUACCCGCUGAACUUAAGCAUAUCAAUAAGCGGAGGAAAAGAAACCAACAGGGAUUGCCCCAGUAACGGCGAGUGAAGCGGCAAGAGCUCAAAUUUGAAAGCUGGCUCCUUCGGGGUCCGCAUUGUAAUUUGCAGAGGAUGCUUCGGGAGCGGUCCCCAUCUAAGUGCCCUGGAACGGGACGUCAUAGAGGGUGAGAAUCCCGUAUGGGAUGGGGUGUCCGCGCCCGUGUGAAGCUCCUUCGACGAGUCGAGUUGUUUGGGAAUGCAGCUCUAAAUGGGUGGUAAAUUUCAUCUAAAGCUAAAUAUUGGCCGGAGACCGAUAGCGCACAAGUAGAGUGAUCGAAAGAUGAAAAGCACUUUGAAAAGAGAGUUAAAAAGCACGUGAAAUUGUUGAAAGGGAAGCGCUUGCGACCAGACUCGCUCGCGGGGUUCAGCCGGCAUUCGUGCCGGUGUAUUUCCCCGCGGGCGGGCCAGCGUCGGUUUGGGCGGUCGGUCAAAGGCCCUCGGAAGGUAACGCCCCUAGGGGCGUCUUAUAGCCGAGGGUGCAAUGCGACCUGCCUAGACCGAGGAACGCGCUUCGGCUCGG
This 606-nucleotide ribosomal RNA is filed under the name Penicillium crustosum. Its description in RNAcentral is "eukaryotic LSU rRNA". It matches the Rfam family "Eukaryotic large subunit ribosomal RNA", at positions 1 to 610 of the family's 3401-position model. Lineage: Eukaryota; Fungi; Ascomycota; Eurotiomycetes; Eurotiales; Aspergillaceae. The record is from RNAcentral.